ACCACCUGGGGAUCUUGUUGAACUGCAGAUCCUGGUUCAGUAGGUUUGGGCAGGGUCUGAGGUUCUGCAUUUCUAAAGAGCUCUCAGGUGAUGCCAA
This 97-nucleotide microRNA precursor is filed under the name Loxodonta africana (African savanna elephant). RNAcentral describes it as "mir-544 microRNA precursor family". It matches the Rfam family "mir-544 microRNA precursor family". Lineage: Eukaryota; Metazoa; Chordata; Mammalia; Proboscidea; Elephantidae. The record is from Rfam by way of RNAcentral.